Molecule: ribosomal RNA, 272 nt
Filed under: uncultured bacterium
Lineage: Bacteria
Description: partial 16S ribosomal RNA
Rfam family: Bacterial small subunit ribosomal RNA
Source: RNAcentral
CCGCCGGCGACGGCGCACGGGUGAGUAACACGUAUGCAACCUGGCCGUGACAGAUGGAUAACCGGGAGAAAUCCCGCCUAAUACAACAUAAUGCCGGGAGGGGACAUCCCCUGCCGGCCAAAGGGGGCGACCCCGGUCACGGAUGGGCAUGCGGCGCAUUAGGUAGUUGGUGGGGCAACGGCCCACCAAGCCGACGAUGCGUAGGGGUUCUGAGAGGAAGGUCCCCCACAUUGGAACUGAGACACGGUCCAAACUCCUACGGAAGGCAGCAG